UUCGAUCACCAAAGUUAAGCAAUGUCGAGCCUUGUCAGUACGUAGAUGGGUGACUGCUUGGGAAUACCAGGUGCUGUAAG
Non-coding RNA from Acanthosepion pharaonis, 80 nucleotides. The record is from the annotation of a GenBank genome assembly. Lineage: Eukaryota; Metazoa; Mollusca; Cephalopoda; Sepiida; Sepiidae.